AACCAUUCUCACCUGCGGCUAGACCUGCGGAAGGAUCAUUACCGAGUGUGAACCCCCCCGUAAAAAAGAGGGGUUACCUCCCGUCCUUUGCUGGGAACCCCUUUCCAACUUGGAAGGAGGUUGUUUUCAGACCCUUCUGCUUCGGUGGGGUAACCCACCGGAACAACCUCAAAAAUAUUCUCAAUUCAAAACCGUUCAGUCCGAGAACUUUUUUGAAAAGCGAAAAAACUUUCAACAAUG
This 240-nucleotide unclassified non-coding RNA is filed under the name soil metagenome. RNAcentral describes it as "partial contains 5.8S ribosomal RNA, internal transcribed spacer 2, and large subunit ribosomal RNA". The record is from RNAcentral.